CGUGUAGGCGGUUUGUACGGUCAGAUGUGAAAUCCCCGGGCUUAACCUGGGAGCUGCAUUUGAGCGUGCAGACUAGAGUGUGAGAGAGGGUUGUGGAAUUCCCAGUGUAGAGGUGAAAUUCGUAGAUAUUGGGAAGAACACCGGUGGCGAAGGCGGCAACCUGGCUCAUUACUGACGCUGAGGCGCGAAAGCGUGGGGAGCAAACA
Molecule: ribosomal RNA, 206 nt
Filed under: uncultured bacterium
Lineage: Bacteria
Description: partial 16S ribosomal RNA
Rfam family: Bacterial small subunit ribosomal RNA
Source: RNAcentral